GGGCCUUUAGCUCAGUUGGUUAGAGCGUGCCUCUGAUAAGGGCAAGGUCUCAGGUUCGAGCCCUGAAAGGCCCAC
This 75-nucleotide transfer RNA is filed under the name Anaerolineaceae bacterium. RNAcentral describes it as "tRNA-Ile". It matches the Rfam family "tRNA". From Rfam's summary of the family: Transfer RNA (tRNA) molecules are approximately 80 nucleotides in length. RNAcentral also lists the same sequence under 1 other name. Lineage: Bacteria; Bacillati; Chloroflexota; Anaerolineae; Anaerolineales; Anaerolineaceae. The record is from RNAcentral.